This is a long non-coding RNA of Poecile atricapillus (Black-capped chickadee), 458 nucleotides long. RefSeq lists it as uncharacterized. The record is from RefSeq and is a predicted model, not a curated record. Lineage: Eukaryota; Metazoa; Chordata; Aves; Passeriformes; Paridae. The transcript has 3 exons.
GUGGCCAUGGGUAACUCAAGGUGGUCACUCAUGGUGGCCAUGGGUCACUUGAGGUGGUCACUCAUGGUGGUGAUGGGUCACUUGAGGUGGUCACUCAUGGUGGCCAUGGGACACUUGAGGUGGUCACUCAUGGUGAUGGGUCACUCAAGGUAGUCACUCAUGGUGGUGAUGGGUCACUCAAGGUGGUCACUCAUGGUGGUGAUGGGUCACUCAAGGUGGUCACUCAUGGUGGCCAUGGGUCACUCGAGGUGGUCACUCAUGGUCAUGGAUCACUUGGGGUGGUCACUCAUGGUGAUGGGUCACUUGGGCUGGUCACUCAUGGUGAUGGGUCACUUAAGGUGGUCACUCAUGGUGGUGAUGGGUCACUCAAGGUGGUCACUCAUGGUGGGGGUGGUCACUCUGGUGGGUCCCUCCUGGAGAUGGGUCACUCCUCAUCGUGCAGCUUCUGGAGUGGGGUG